RNA transcript from Vicia villosa (hairy vetch), 3620 nucleotides. It is a transcript of the gene named GCN5-related N-acetyltransferase 5, chloroplastic, with no coding region annotated. The transcript is spliced from 5 exons. Lineage: Eukaryota; Viridiplantae; Streptophyta; Magnoliopsida; Fabales; Fabaceae. The record is from RefSeq and is a predicted model, not a curated record.
CUUCUUUUCUUGCACUACCUCUAACAAUUUCCUUCCUCUCAAUAACCAUGGCUACAACUCUUUCACUUUCCUUCUCCUUAGACCCUCAAAACCGCUUCAACAUCCUCACCACAACCAAAACGACUCGUCGUUUCACAUUCUCAUCUCUUCCUCAUCGAAAAACCCUAAUCCCAACCCCUAAUCCACACUUCAAACUCUCCUCUUCUUCCCAUUCCCAAUCCCAAACCCUAGCCGAACCCAUCAUUCAACCCGGUAAAUUCCUCACAAACGAAGAACUCGACAAACUCCAAUUCCUCUCCUCAUUCCUCUACUCUCAUCAACUCGAAUCCGGCACGGUCUGGGUUCGAGUCAUGAGAGACAACGAAGUGGAUCCCAUUGUGUGUUUACUCGCGGAUUCGUUUGCUGAAUCGAUGAUGUUUCCGAAAGGGUAUAUCAAUGUGUUGAGGUUUUUGGUGAAACAGUAUUUGGUUGAACGGAGGAGUUCGAUGCCGCAUAUGGCGACGUUGGUUGGGUUUUAUAGAGGGGUUGUUGAUGGGGAAGAUGAGGAAAUGCAGUUGGCUGGGACUGUGGAGAUUUCUUUUGAUAAAAAUGGGGCUAAUACUACUGUUCCUUCGCCUACUCCUCCCAGGGAUUCUCCUUACAUUUGUAACAUGGCUGUGGAAAAAUCUCUCAGAAGGAGGGGCAUUGGAUGGCACCUUCUACAGGCAAGUGAGGAAUUGAUUUCUCAGAUGAGUUCAUUGGGAGAAGUUUACUUGCAUUGCCGAAUGAUUGAUGAAGCUCCAUUUAACAUGUAUACAAAAGCUGAUUACAAAAUUGUAACGACAGAUAGUAUAUUAGUUCUGCUGAUGUUGCAGAGACGCAAGCACUUGAUGUGCAAGAAACUUCCUCUCAUAAGUAUGCCUUCAGAAACAGAUGUGUCAUGGUCUGAUGAGUAAAAGACAACAUUAAUGUUACCAAGGAUGGUUGCAGUGGUUUUAGUUUGACUGGAGGAUGAAGAUUGGUUUCAAGCAUCCUUAUAUACUCGCUUACCAGUAGGGAAGAGACCUGUUGUUUUGCAGGUUAGGUACAUCGUAUUUUCUUGAAGAACCUACUAACAUUAGAGAUGCAUGGGAAAUAUAUAUAAAAUUGGGUCUGGAUUUCUUCAAUUCAAUCAAAACAGUGGUUUGUCUAUGCAUCAAAGGUUUAUAUAUUGGUCCUAAAGUUUGAACAUGGCACAUUUGAUCGUUUGAACUGAACCAUACAUGGCCGAAAGAAGUAGGACAAGGGUGGUUGACUCUUGUCACUGUCUCUUCGGUACUCCUUUCAUGUAGUCGGUGAUGGGGGUAGAAGUAGGAUAAGGGUGAUAAUAUGGUUGAAGAUUAAUAAAGAAAAGGCUCAUUUAAGAUUUGCCCACAAUGGACUUAGUUCUUCAUCUUGUAAGAUCAUCAAGUUUGUUAUCUUUGUACAUAAUUGUGCAAAAUACUAAUAUUAAUUAGUCUGGUGUAUAUAUAUGGAAAAGUACCAAACAUAGUUCACUCUGUUUAUUUUCAACAAGAAAUCACCAUAAUUUUGGUGUCUAAAUCUUUGGUGUCAUUAGAUCAGUCUCAAACUAUGCAUAACCAUUCCCAAGCCUUUUGAAUUUGUAUAGAUAAUCAUUUGGAUCUCUUUUACACAAUCUGCCAUUGAAGGCCGCUCAUUACUUUCAGUUCGUACACAUCUUGAUGCCAGAUUGGCAAACAUGACUAUAGACUGAAUGGUGUAAGAAUUUCUAGCCAUCUCCGGAUCUAUCACCUUACGGAGCUUCUUGCGGUCAUUCAAUAUGUGCCUCACCUGCAUAUAAAUGUAAAAUAUAUUAAAGUAUUGCUGCUGCAAGGCUUAAAUUGCGGAACUUGUGAAUUUUCUACCCUCAAGAACAAGAAUGGACUAUGAAAGAUACACCAGAAAAUUACCAAUUACCAGUAAUGUCAAGUUAUUUUUGUAUAAAUUUAUGAAAUGAAGAAAAACCAAAUUGCAAAUUUCAAGGUCAUACAUGGUCUUUAUUAUUUUAGAAUCCCUAAUGAGUGUGUGUUCACUUCCUACCUGUAGUACAAGAUUUUGAUCGUUAGGACCUUGGUUUAGGUCUACAGCUCGGCGUCCAGUCAAAAGCUCCAGAAGAACAACACCAAAAGCAUAAACAUCACUUUGGAGAGUGAGUUUCCCUGUCUGUUGUCAAAUGAAAUAAAUUGGUGAAAAUACAAAUGUAGCAGUAAACAGAUUCCAGAUAUAUAAGAAAACAAAAAGUUAAAGAUUACCGGAUAGAAUCUUGACAUAUUAACAUUUGAUUUGGGUUAUAGAUAAAUAAAGUAAGUUUUAGCAACAACAUUUGGUGGGACGUUUGUCUAUUUAUCCAUUUUGAUAGUCAUGUUCCUUUCAGGUCAUACAUACACCAGUAAAUAAAAGGAAACUGAAAGACUUAAUUGGAAUUGGAUAAAAUUUCAGUUUCAGACUUUUAAUGCAUAUCAGAUUUUGAAAGUUAAGCCAACUUUUACUGGAUGAGUUGACGUUGGGUUACUAACAUGAUUUGCGAUAUUAAUUAAUUUUAGGGUGGCUUAGCCAUUCACAACAGGUUACUAGUUGGUGUUGCAUUGCUGUUGAUCAAUAAAUGAUUUAACUCACUAAGUACAAUAUGCAUAACAUUAAAAUAUUAGUUAGGUAUAUUGUGCAUGUAAUGCUAUUCUCUGUUGCGGCAGUUGUGGAUCUCUGGUGUUUGAAAAUAUGAAGCUGAUUACACCAUAUGCUUGUGAAAAUUAUAGCAUAAGAAAUUUAUAUAUACUGGAUAUUUGAAAUCUCUUUUCUUAUCUUUAUGACUGAAUAACAUGAAAAAGGUAGAAGAAACUGUCUAAAUAUUGAACAUUGUAAGGAAGUGAAGGUUUUUCUUAUUCUUGGGGAGGGUGGGUGGAUAUAGACAUAGAUACGUACCGAUGUAUACUCAGGAUCAAAGUAACCAAAGGUACCAAGCACUCUGGCAGUCACAUGUGUCUCCUGUCCUUCUGGCAUUAACUUGGCGAGCCCAAAAUCAGAUAUCUACAUAAAGACAUAAUUAUAGUUCUUACAUAUUAUUGUUAGAAAUAUUGUAAUAAAGCCAAUAUUGCAAUUUUAUUUAUACCUUAGCUUCAUAGUUGGCAUCUAAGAGAAUGUUUGUCGAUUUGAAAUCUCUGUGAACAAUAGGAAUUCCAACAUCAGCACUUGAAUGGAGAUAAGCAAGCCCUUUUGCAGCUCCUAGUGCCACCUGUAGUCUUUGAGGCCAAUCAAUGUUUCUUUCUCCAAUUCCUGAAAUUUUAGAGUAAUAGAAGCUUGAUGUUCCCAUUAAGCAUAUAUUCAUAUACUAAGAAUCUGUGCUUUCCAUCAGCACAGUAUCCUAUCAAGGAAACAAGAUUUGGGUGGCUCAGUCUGCUCAAAAUAUCAACUUCGACUCGGAAUUCUCGUUCCCCCUCUGCUUCUUUUAUUGCUGGAAGCUCCAUUUUCUUGAUUGCUACAACCUUCAAAGGCAGACAUAUUGUAUCAGUAUGUAUUUUCAUCAAGAUAGCACAUUUUGAACCAUUUUUGUAAAUCUUGAAAAUCUUCUGUUUCGAAGCUAACAAAACCUUGAAAAUCAUGAUGAA